GAUGAACGCUGACAGAAUGCUUAACACAUGCAAGUCAACUUGAAUUUGGGUUUUUAACUUAGGUUUGGGUGGCGGACGGGUGAGUAACGCGUAAAGAACUUGCCUCACAGCUAGGGACAACAUUUGGAAACGAAUGCUAAUACCUAAUAUUAUGAUAAUAGGGCGUCCUAUAAUUAUGAAAGCUAUAAGCGCUGUGAGAGAGCUAUGCGUCCCAUUAGCUAGUUGGAGAGGUAACGGCUCACCAAGGCGAUGAUGGGUAGCCGGCCUGAGAGGGUGAUCGGCCACAAGGGGACUGAGACACGGCCCUUACUCCUACGGGAGGCAGCAGUGGGGAAUAUUGGACAAUGGACCAAGAGUCUGAUCCAGCAAUUCUGUGUGCACGAUGAAGUUUUUCGGAAUGUAAAGUGCUUUCAGUUGGGAAGAAAGAAAUGACGGUACCAACAGAAGAAGUGACGGCUAAAUACGUGCCAGCAGCCGCGGUAAUACGUAUGUCACGAGCGUUAUCCGGAUUUAUUGGGCGUAAAGCGCGUCUAGGUGGUUAUGUAAGUCUGAUGUGAAAAUGCAGGGCUCAACUCUGUAUUGCGUUGGAAACUGUAUAACUAGAGUACUGGAGAGGUAAGCGGAACUACAAGUGUAGAGGUGAAAUUCGUAGAUAUUUGUAGGAAUGCCGAUGGGGAAGCCAGCUUACUGGACAGAUACUGACGCUGAAGCGCGAAAGCGUGGGUAGCAAACAGG
RNAcentral lists this ribosomal RNA (735 nucleotides) under uncultured Fusobacterium sp. RNAcentral's name for it is "bacterial SSU rRNA". It matches the Rfam family "Bacterial small subunit ribosomal RNA", at positions 28 to 776 of the family's 1533-position model. The record is from RNAcentral. Lineage: Bacteria; Fusobacteriati; Fusobacteriota; Fusobacteriia; Fusobacteriales; Fusobacteriaceae.